This 161-nucleotide non-coding RNA is filed under the name Metalysinibacillus jejuensis. Its description in RNAcentral is "Lysine riboswitch". It matches the Rfam family "Lysine riboswitch aptamer", at positions 4 to 160 of the family's 182-position model. From Rfam's summary of the family: Riboswitches are metabolite binding domains within certain messenger RNAs that serve as precision sensors for their corresponding targets. The record is from RNAcentral. Lineage: Bacteria; Bacillati; Bacillota; Bacilli; Caryophanales; Caryophanaceae.
UGAGGUAGAGGCGCGAUAUUUAUUAGAUUACAGCAGAGUGUAAGCAACGAUGAAGCUAUAAUGAAGGAAAUAUCGCCGAAGUGUAUAAGUGAGCUUUACGCUUAUAUGCUGGGGUUGCAGUUAACAAUUGCAACACUGUCUUAGUAAACGUUAUUCCUUUU